UAUCUCUGUAGAGUCUGCAUAUCAAUAAGCGGAGGAAAAGAAACUAACAAGGAUUCCCCUAGUAACGGCGAGUGAAGCGGGAAGAGCUCAAAUUUGAAAUCUUCAAGGUUUGACCUUGACGAAUUGUUGUUUAAAGAAGUGUUUUCGGUUAGAGGAGUAGUAAAAGUUCUUUGGAAUAGGACAUCAUAGAGGGUGAGAAUCCCGUAUUUGACUAUUCUUUCUAGCUUUGUGAUACACUUUCAAAGAGUCGGAUUGUUUGGGAAUGCAGUCCAAAAUGGGUGGUAAAUUUCAUCUAAAGCUAAAUAUUGGCGAGAGACCGAUAGCGAACAAGUACCGUGAGGGAAAGAUGAAAAGAACUUUGAAAAGAGAGUUAAACAGUACGUGAAAUUGUCAAAAGGGAAGCGUUUGACACCAGUGUUGUUUUUCCGAAAAUCAAUUAAAAAUUGAUUCAUGCCAGGUUGUAUUGACCUUAUCAGCUUGCAAUUUGGUUUUGGGUCUCUUUUUGAUGCACUUUUCGGUUAACAAGUCAACAUCAAUUUCCUUUGCUGUAAAAAGGUAAGAGGAAGGUGGCUUCAAUUUCGGUUGAAGUGUUUAUAGCCUUUUAUCUCUGCAGUCGGGGAGAUUGAGGUCUGCAGCGUAGAUCCUUCGGGGCUAGAUACAUUUAUGCUAAGUUAUAGCUUUUCAUAGACAACUUGUUGACUAUGUUUAGUCAUGUAGCUUACUCGUAAGUGCUAUUUUACCUACGCUUAGGAUGUUGACUGAUAUGUAGUCGUA
Molecule: ribosomal RNA, 774 nt
Filed under: uncultured Neocallimastigales
Lineage: Eukaryota; Fungi; Neocallimastigomycota; Neocallimastigomycetes; Neocallimastigales
Description: partial large subunit ribosomal RNA
Rfam family: Eukaryotic large subunit ribosomal RNA
Source: RNAcentral